RNAcentral lists this ribosomal RNA (415 nucleotides) under uncultured Saccharopolyspora sp. RNAcentral's name for it is "bacterial SSU rRNA". It matches the Rfam family "Bacterial small subunit ribosomal RNA", at positions 355 to 774 of the family's 1533-position model. Lineage: Bacteria; Bacillati; Actinomycetota; Actinomycetes; Pseudonocardiales; Pseudonocardiaceae. The record is from RNAcentral.
UGGGGAAUCUUGCGCAAUGGGCGAAAGCCUGACGCAGCAACGCCGCGUGGGGGAUGACGGCCUUCGGGUUGUAAACCUCUUUCGACACCGACGAAGCCAUCUUCGGGUGGUGACGGUAGGUGUAGAAGAAGCACCGGCUAACUACGUGCCAGCAGCCGCGGUAAUACGUAGGGUGCGAGCGUUGUCCGGAUUUAUUGGGCGUAAAGAGCUCGUAGGCGGUUUGUCGCGUCUAUCGUGAAAACCGGGAGCUUAACUCCUGGCUUGCGGUGGAUACGGGCAGACUUGAGUUCGGUAGGGGAGACUGGAAUUCCUGGUGUAGCGGUGAAAUGCGCAGAUAUCAGGAGGAACACCGGUGGCGAAGGCGGGUCUCUGGGCCGAUACUGACGCUGAGGAGCGAAAGCGUGGGGAGCGAACA